UUGAACGCUGGCGGCAUGCCUUACACAUGCAAGUCGAACGGUAGAGGGGCAACCCUUGAGAGUGGCGAACGGGUGAGUAAUAUAUCGGAACGUGCCCAGUCGUGGGGGAUAACGCAGCGAAAGCUGCGCUAAUACCGCAUACGAUCUAUGGAUGAAAGCGGGGGAUCGCAAGACCUUGCGCGAUUGGAGCGGCCGAUAUCAGAUUAGGUAGUUGGUGGGGUAAAAGCCCACCAAGCCGACGAUCUGUAGCUG
This 252-nucleotide ribosomal RNA is filed under the name uncultured bacterium. Its description in RNAcentral is "partial 16S ribosomal RNA". It matches the Rfam family "Bacterial small subunit ribosomal RNA", at positions 30 to 289 of the family's 1533-position model. The record is from RNAcentral.